UUCAGGUCAUGUAAAGUUUGAAACGGGCGCAGUUCCUUUGGUGAACUGAACUGGACCUAGUCCAUAUAAGAUAAUCCAAUUCAUUCUAAACUUUGUCUUUAGUUCAUAUUCGACUUGAUGCAAUAAAUGCUUUGCGGGUUCACCGCAUGGUAAGAAACUGCACAGUUUUUCAUAUUUAUGUUUAGUUUCAUUACGUUUAGAGAAAAAUGCUGGUUUCACCUGUUGAUAAAUAUCAUUAAAAUCAAAAGUUUUUUUGGGCGUUGUAAAGAUGACAUCAUGCCGUUCAGCAAGUUACAAUUGCAGUGGGGACCAUAUCUUGUUGUUAACAGUGUGAGAAUAUAAAAUAGAUUAAUUUAUGGAACUUGUAAUGUCUAAUGUUGACAAUAUCGGAGAACGGCUAUCAUUUGACGCUAUUAUUAUGACAUAUAUUAUAAAAAAGUAUAAAUACUUAAUAUUGUUUCCUGUCUGCAUGAUAUGAAAAUAGUGUUUACAUCGAAUUAACUGUCUGUAAACUCUUUUUGACAUAACAAAUAAUAAAACACUAUAUUACUUUAAA
This is a long non-coding RNA of Xenia sp. Carnegie-2017, 556 nucleotides long. RefSeq lists it as uncharacterized. The record is from RefSeq and is a predicted model, not a curated record. The transcript is spliced from 2 exons. Lineage: Eukaryota; Metazoa; Cnidaria; Anthozoa; Malacalcyonacea; Xeniidae.